Molecule: ribosomal RNA, 301 nt
Filed under: uncultured bacterium
Lineage: Bacteria
Description: partial 16S ribosomal RNA
Rfam family: Bacterial small subunit ribosomal RNA
Source: RNAcentral
CAGCCGCCGCGGUAAUACGUAGGUGGCAAGCGUUGUCCGGAAUUAUUGGGCGUAAAGGGCUCGCAGGCGGUUUCUUAAGUCUGAUGUGAAAGCCCCCGGCUCAACCGGGGAGGGUCAUUGGAAACUGGGAAACUUAAGUGCAGAAGAGGAGAGUGGAAUUCCACGUGUAGCGGUGAAAUGCGUAGAGAUGUGGAGGAACACCAGUGGCGAAGGCGACUCUCUGGUCUGUAACUGACGCUGAGGAGCGAAAGCGUGGGGAGCGAACAGGAUUAGAUACCCCCGUAGUCCCUGUCUCUUAUAC